UGCUCAGGACGAACGCUGGCGGCGUGCUUAACACAUGCAAGUCGAGCGGUAAGGCCCUUCGGGGUACACGAGCGGCGAACGGGUGAGUAACACGUGAGCAACCUGCCCCUGACUCCGGGAUAAGCGGUGGAAACGCCGUCUAAUACCGGAUACGACCCGCCACCUCAUGGUGGAGGGUGGAAAGUUUUUCGGUCAGGGAUGGGCUCGCGGCCUAUCAGCUUGUUGGUGGGGUAACGGCCUACCAAGGCGAUUACGGGUAGCCGGCCUGAGAGGGCGACCGGCCACACUGGGACUGAGACACGGCCCAGACUCCUGCGGGAGGCAGCAGUGGGGAAUAUUGCGCAAUGGGCGAAAGCCUGACGCAGCGACGCCGCGUGGGGGAUGACGGCCUUCGGGUUGUAAACCUCUUUUACCACCAACGCAGGCCCGGAGUUUUCUUCGGGUUGACGGUAGGUGGGGAAUAAGGACCGGCUAACUACGUGCCAGCAGCCGCGGUAAUACGUAGGGUCCGAGCGUUGUCCGGAAUUAUUGGGCGUAAAGAGCUUGUAGGCGGCGUGUCGCGUUUGCUGUGAAAGACCGGGGCUUAACUCCGGUUUUGCAGUGGAUACGGGCAUGCUAGAGGUAGGUAGGGGAGACUGGAAUUCCUGGUGUAGCGGUGAAAUGCGCAGAUAUCAGGAGGAACACCGGUGGCGAAGGCGGGUCUUUGGGCCUUACCUGACGCUGAGGAGCGAAAGCAUGGGGAGCGAACAGGAUUAGAUACCCUGGUAGUCCAUGCCGUAAACGUUGGGCGCUAGG
Molecule: ribosomal RNA, 795 nt
Filed under: Nocardiopsis alborubida
Lineage: Bacteria; Bacillati; Actinomycetota; Actinomycetes; Streptosporangiales; Nocardiopsidaceae
Description: bacterial SSU rRNA
Rfam family: Bacterial small subunit ribosomal RNA
Source: RNAcentral